GUACUUGCUUCAGCAGCACAGAUACUAAAAUUGGAAAGACAUAGAGAAGAUUAGCAUGGCCUCUGUGCAACGAAUAUACAUGAAUUCAUGAAUUGUUCUGUAUUUAA
RNAcentral lists this small nuclear RNA (107 nucleotides) under Castor canadensis (American beaver). The record is from RNAcentral. Lineage: Eukaryota; Metazoa; Chordata; Mammalia; Rodentia; Castoridae.